GUUAGAACAUCAAGAAACCGAACGCGCAAAUCGGGAACAAUUUGCCGCCCCGAUGGAAAAGCAAAAGAGCCGUUUCGUGAUUCGGUCCAAACAGUGCCCAUCUAAAAUACGGACCCGCUAAUGAACUAUAAUCGAUGAGUGAUUAACACAUCCACGCCAAAUGCGAAUGCGAUCGAUCUCGACGACGGAUCAUCACCAUACUAAUAAAUACAAACAAAUCUAGACGAAUUGGAAAACAAAAAUUCAGCGAUUGUCAGCUCAAUCCUGCAGCCAGUGAAGAGGCGUCCUGGAAUGACCUGGUGCAAGAAAUUCUCCAAUGCAACGACCGAAACAACGCGAACCACAACAACCGCAACAAGGACAGAUGACCGGUGAAAGAUUCGUCUCAGUAGCAGAUGUACGUUGGAUGCUACGGCCAAGGAAUCCGGAUCUGCAAGGACCCGGUGACUUACGAGUGUUCUUAGUUAGUUAGCGUUCUUCAUGG
Molecule: long non-coding RNA, 484 nt
Organism: Uranotaenia lowii
Lineage: Eukaryota; Metazoa; Arthropoda; Insecta; Diptera; Culicidae
Exons: 3
Source: RefSeq, a predicted model, not a curated record